CCCACUCUUCCGACUCCACGGUUUCUGUCGCUUCACUACCUUUAAGCAAGGCCAAAAACUUUCGCCAACUGCCGCAAUCAGAGAUUCAAAAACAUCUUGCCGCUGGUACCUGCUUCCGUUGCGGUCUGACUUUCGGACCCCUUCACCGCUGCCCGCCUAAGACGUUGAACGUCCUUGUGUGUGAUGAAUUGGGGGAGCCCGAGUUCGAUGCACUACACCAGCACGCACCUGUUGAGGCAUCCUAUUUCCGGUCCAUACUUCAGCCUUGAGGACAAGGCUGUUUUGCCCGGGGAGGCUAUUGAUAGACCUUGGCUGAUUAAGUUUAUCUUUAUUUCUUCUUAUCUUGUUAAGUCAUUUAUUAUGUUUGGGUCAAUAAUUAUUAUGAGUCCUUAAGCCCGUCCAGUAUGUUGCAUGGGCUUAGUAAGUUAGGG
Molecule: long non-coding RNA, 431 nt
Filed under: Salvia miltiorrhiza (redroot sage)
Lineage: Eukaryota; Viridiplantae; Streptophyta; Magnoliopsida; Lamiales; Lamiaceae
Description: long non-coding RNA (SMIL_LNC011377)
Source: RNAcentral